This 405-nucleotide ribosomal RNA is filed under the name uncultured bacterium. RNAcentral's name for it is "partial 16S ribosomal RNA". It matches the Rfam family "Bacterial small subunit ribosomal RNA", at positions 28 to 526 of the family's 1533-position model. The record is from RNAcentral.
GACGAACGCUGGCGGCGUGCUUAACACAUGCAAGUCGAGCGGAGCGGCGAACGGGUGAGUAACGCGAGAGUAACUGACCCCCUCUCUGGGAUUACAGUUGGAAACGGCUGCUAAUACCGGUUAGUGGGGGAUGACUUGCGUUCUUUCAGCUUGAUGGUGUGGUAGUGGCCUACCAAGGCGACGACGGGUACCCGACCUGAGAGGGCGACAGGCCGCAUGGGACUGAGAUACGGGCCAAACUCCUACGGGAGGCAGCAGUGGGGAAUAUUACACAAUGAGGGAAGCCCUGAUGCGGCAACGCCACGUGCGGGAUGUCGGCCUUCGGAUUGUAAACCGAUUGCGGCCAUGACGCGGUAGUGGGAGAAGAAGCACCGGCUAACUACGUGCCAGCAGCCGCGGUAAUUC